CAUUCACGGAGAGUUUGAUCCUGGCUCAGGACGAACGCUGGCGGCGUGCUUAACACAUGCAAGUCGAACGAUGAAGCCCUUCGGGGUGGAUUAGUGGCGAACGGGUGAGUAACACGUGGGCAAUCUGCCCUUCACUCUGGGACAAGCCCUGGAAACGGGGUCUAAUACCGGAUAACACUCUCUUCCUCCUGGGAGGGGGUUGAAAGCUCCGGCGGUGAAGGAUGAGCCCG
This 230-nucleotide ribosomal RNA is filed under the name Streptomyces sp. SID9727. RNAcentral's name for it is "partial 16S ribosomal RNA". It matches the Rfam family "Bacterial small subunit ribosomal RNA", at positions 1 to 233 of the family's 1533-position model. The record is from RNAcentral. Lineage: Bacteria; Bacillati; Actinomycetota; Actinomycetes; Kitasatosporales; Streptomycetaceae.